GAUGAACGCUGGCGGCGUGCCUAAUACAUGCAAGUCGAGCGAACAGACGAGGAGCUUGCUCCUCUGACAUUAGCGGCGGACGGGUGAGUAACACGUGGAUAACCUACCUAUAAGACUGGGAUAAUUUCGGGAAACCGGAGCUAAUACCGGAUAAUAUAUUGAACCGCAUGGUUCAAUAGUGAAAGACGGUUUUGCUGUCACUUAUAGAUGGAUCCGCGCCGCAUUAGCUAGUUGGUAAGGUAACGGCUUACCAAGGCAACGAUGCGUAGCCGACCUGAGAGGGUGAUCGGCCACACUGGAACUGAGACACGGUCCAGACUCCUACGGGAGGCAGCAGUAGGGAAUCUUCCGCAAUGGGCGAAAGCUUGACGGAGCAACGCCGCGUGAGUGAUGAAGGUCUUCGGAUCGUAAAACUCUGUUAUUAGGGAAGAACAAAUGUGUAAGUAACUAUGCACGUCUUGACGGUACCUAAUCAGAAAGCCACGGCUAACUACGUG
RNAcentral lists this ribosomal RNA (497 nucleotides) under uncultured bacterium. RNAcentral's name for it is "partial 16S ribosomal RNA". It matches the Rfam family "Bacterial small subunit ribosomal RNA", at positions 28 to 507 of the family's 1533-position model. The record is from RNAcentral.